RNAcentral lists this long non-coding RNA (199 nucleotides) under Elaeis guineensis (African oil palm). Its description in RNAcentral is "long non-coding RNA (EGUI_LNC018490)". Lineage: Eukaryota; Viridiplantae; Streptophyta; Magnoliopsida; Arecales; Arecaceae. The record is from RNAcentral.
CCUGCUCCUUUCCAGGAGCUGGAUGUCCCAGCAUCCUGUAAUAAAAAAAUAAAAUAAUAUUAGUAAGUUUUGAUAUGGAGGUAUAUUUUUCGAUACGAAGAUGUAUCUUUCGAUAUAUUUUUUCGAUUCUCGAAUAAAUUAUUUUUAUAUAUUUCAUUCGAUGAUAUGGAGCUAUAGACACCCCUGACCUAUCAAUUAG